Molecule: long non-coding RNA, 845 nt
Organism: Gallus gallus (chicken)
Lineage: Eukaryota; Metazoa; Chordata; Aves; Galliformes; Phasianidae
Source: Ensembl
AGAGCAAAUGUGUGGGCCGAACCAUUCAGUAUGGGGGCUGUGUGAGCAAGAAGAAAGUGCAAGGCCCAACUGGACAGACAUGGCAGGAUGAGACUUGACCAGGUACUAUCUCCACCCCAACACAACAGCGCCUCCAGCCAUUUCCUCUUCUUAACCUCAUUGUGAACCACAAACCUAAAAGCAACUGAUGAACAGUCUUUGGAUAAGGUGCCUCAGACAUUGUCCAAACUGAAAACUGAUUCACAGACAAGUUCUCUUGGAACUGCACUUGCUUUGGGAAGUCUCUUUCCACCCAAAAGCCAACUAGAAAUCCAGGCAGCCUUCCUUCCUCAACCCUAGAGCAGUUGAGUUCCUACUAGUUGACAGUUCAGUCUGCGGAGCUGCUCAGUGCUAAUGGGAUGACUUAACCUGGGUGGAGCCUUUCCGAUUUGGCAGCAGCGAAUCGUGCAAAAUGCCAGUGGAGAAACCUGCAGUGCCAUCAAGCCGCAUGCACUGACCUGGUUAAAAUCACCAGAGCAGCAGAUCACCUCCCGUGCUGCCCCAGCAACAGGGAUGGCAGCUACCCAAGACGGCAAGAACAGGAGCAGUAAACCUUCUGAUUGCCCCUAUGCAGGAGGCCAGGGUCUGUCUGGAGGCAGUAAUUAAUGCUAGUGUGGGUUUAUUUCUCAAAGCCUCCAUGUGGAAGUGCCUUUGUCUUGUGCUUUUGACAGCACAGUAAAGCAUCAAAAGGGACAGAAGCCUCUUUAUUGGAUAGUUUAUGAUGUUCCACCUCAAAACAUUAGGCUUGGAAAAGCCAUUCACUUUCUGCUCACCAUAUGGGAUUUUAAAUAAAAUGGGUGCUCCAU